ACCACUUGACAGCCUGGGCCGGAAGAUACCCAUAUGGCUUCUCCUGCCCUUACUUCAGAACCUCUCUGUGUGGAGGAACAAGCUUGUUCCUUGAUAAAUGGAUACAAUGUGAGAGACAAUAAUCAAAGAAAAUAUAGAGGGAUUUGGAAAUACCUGUGAGAUACACACACUUCUUCGAGGUGGGGGUCAAGGAAGACAUUGAAAAUGAACCAAGCCUUCUAUGUUCAUUCGCAGCCUACUUUAGGGAGAAGAACCAACGUGAAGCAAGCAGAGAGAAUAGUAUGAGUAGAGGCAUAGGGAUUUUUUAGAAUAUUUGGCUUAUCCAGAAAAUAGUGAUUAAUUUGGCAUGAUUAAUGCUCAGUAGAGGUCAUGUAGCAGAGGGUUUAUUUAAGAAGCUAGAUAUGAAGGAAGAAAUUACCAAAACUUGUAACAUCAAAUGAAGUAUGAUGACUACCGAAACCUGAAGAAUAGCAGUUGAAAUAGAAGUCAUACUGUUUGUCUCUGUCUUCAAAAUCCUACUCAUUCUUCCAGACCCAUCUCAAAUUACAUAUCCUCCAUUAGAUUUCUUGGUUUUCCCAGCUGCGUAUGAUGCCUUCUUCCUUUGAACCCCUUUGUUUGAACACUUCAUAACCCAUAAGGACCUGUAGCCUCUCGUCAUGAUUCUGAGGCCUCCUCAGCCAUGUGGAACAACUGCAGAAGACGUGAUAAUCCACAUCCCUUCAAAUAGCAUCAUCAAGCUACAUCAUAUCUCUAUGAAGGCGGUUGUAUGUUCUACUAUGGGUUUCUUUUUGUUGGUUUAUUUGUUGUGUUUUUGUUUUUGUUUUUGCCAAGUCU
Symphalangus syndactylus (siamang) is the source of this 834-nucleotide long non-coding RNA. RefSeq lists it as uncharacterized. The record is from RefSeq and is a predicted model, not a curated record. NCBI's taxonomy places the organism in Eukaryota, Metazoa, Chordata, Mammalia, Primates, Hylobatidae.